AGGGCAUGUGGGGGAUGUCUUGGCGUCAGAAGGCGAUGACGAGCGUGGAAGACUGCGAAAAGCCUGGGGUAACUGUCAAACAAGUAUUGAUCCCAGGAUUCUCUAAUUAGUUAGCACUGAAUCCAUAGGUGUUAACGGCCAACCCGGUGAACUGAAACAUCUUAGUAACCGGAGGAAAAGAAAGAAAAAUCGAUCUCGUUAGUAGCGGCGAGCGAAACCGAGGUAGCCCAAACCGCAAGGGUUUUCCCGUGCGGGGUUGUAGGGCCUCUUGUAUGUGAGUUACAAAACCAUUGAUUAGCAGAACCGGAAUGAAAGCCGGGCCACAGAAGGUGACAGCCCUGUAAGCUAAAAUCAUAUGGACUCACUAGAGGUACCUGAGUAAGUCGGGUCACGUGAAACCCCGACUGAAUCUACAGGGACCAUCCUGUAAGGCUAAAUACUCUCUGACGACCGAUAGCAAACUCAGUAGGGCGACUGAAAGAUGAAAAGAACCCCGUUGAGGGGAGUUAAAUUGAACCUGAAACCACAUGCUUACAAGCGGUCGGAGCACUAUUUAUAUAAGUGUGACGGCG
Molecule: unclassified non-coding RNA, 572 nt
Filed under: Hevea brasiliensis (rubber tree)
Lineage: Eukaryota; Viridiplantae; Streptophyta; Magnoliopsida; Malpighiales; Euphorbiaceae
Rfam family: Bacterial large subunit ribosomal RNA
Source: RNAcentral